Molecule: ribosomal RNA, 460 nt
Filed under: uncultured Bacteroidota bacterium
Lineage: Bacteria; Pseudomonadati; Bacteroidota
Description: bacterial SSU rRNA
Rfam family: Bacterial small subunit ribosomal RNA
Source: RNAcentral
CCUACGGGCGGCUGCAGUGAGGAAUAUUGGUCAAUGGGCGCAAGCCUGAACCAGCCAUCCCGCGUGCAGGAAGACGGCGCUAUGCGUUGUAAACUGCUUUUCCAGGGGGCGAACCUCCCGCACGAGUGCGGGACUGACGGUACCUUGGGAAUAAGCAUCGGCUAACUCCGUGCCAGCAGCCGCGGUAAUACGGAGGAUGCGAGCGUUAUCCGGAUUUAUUGGGUUUAAAGGGUGCGUAGGCGGAUUAAUAAGUCAGUGGUGAAAACCUGCAGCUUAACUGUAGAACUGCCGUUGAUACUGUUAGUCUUGAGUAUGGUCAAGGUAGGCGGAAUGUGUAAUGUAGCGGUGAAAUGCUUAGAUAUUACACAGAACACCGAUUGCGAAGGCAGCUUACUGGGCCGUUACUGACGCUGAUGCACGAAAGCGUGGGGAUCGAACAGGCUUAGAUACCCUGGUAGUC